Molecule: long non-coding RNA, 781 nt
Organism: Lagopus leucura (white-tailed ptarmigan)
Lineage: Eukaryota; Metazoa; Chordata; Aves; Galliformes; Phasianidae
Exons: 4
Source: RefSeq, a predicted model, not a curated record
CUAGAAUUCCCUCCAUGGGGAAGAGCUGAGCAGGAAAAUGAGCAAGAUGAUCGUCACGAGUCAUUCUAUUUAACGCACUCUGUCUGAUUACAAUAGGUGCCAAGUCAUUUUCCCACCUGUGCUCUGCCAAAUACAUCAUUUUACUGCCCUGGCUUUUUAUUGGACUUACAUUUGCCUCCCACUUGUGCUUCUUGGUAAGAAGUGGGCAGAGCAGACUAUCAUGAGGAGUUUAGUGCUGAGUGGUUACCCGAGGAUGCAAAAAGCUUCCAUUUCACUGCCUACUUUGUCAGCAUUGGACUCACUCCCUUGAAAAGAUGGGCCUCCGGACUCUUCAUAGGAGAAACUAAAAAGGCUUUUUGACCUUCAGCUGCAUACAAGAAUCUUCUAAAGGCCAUGUGCCUGUCAUGAACAGCUAAAAUACUGGAGCUGUUUAAAAGUCUCGUAUGCAAGACAGAAAAGACAAAUCCAGGGCAACCACCACAACCAGUCUGAAUGAAGAAUCAAUCAAGAAAUGGUUCUGGAGCUCAUCACCGCAAUGAACAGAUGCUCUUUACAGUUACCCGAAGGGAGGUUAUGAUGAGAGCCUGCCAUGAAUUUUGUUUUCAGUAGUGCCUAGAGAAAAUCAAGGCAUCCUACUGAAGCCACCUGGAGCUAUGCCAAUGAGGUGAAAUCAGAGACAGACUGCAUUCAUCCUCGUGAACUCAGCCAAUCUGAAGAAGGGAUGUGGUAGGUUUCAAAGAGCUGUGUGCAGGAAUAGUGUCUUAUGUAAUCAUGUUUUUAU